Molecule: ribosomal RNA, 568 nt
Filed under: uncultured Gemmata sp.
Lineage: Bacteria; Pseudomonadati; Planctomycetota; Planctomycetia; Gemmatales; Gemmataceae
Description: bacterial SSU rRNA
Rfam family: Bacterial small subunit ribosomal RNA
Source: RNAcentral
AAGGGGCAGUAAGGCGUGGGUACCUACCUUGGGAUCCGGGAUAGCCGUCCGAGAGGGCGGGUAAUACCGGAUGAUCUCGAGAGAGCAAAGCUCCGGCGUCCCGAGAGGGGCCCACGUGAUAUUAGCUGGUUGGUGAGGUGACGGCUCACCAAGGCGGAGAUGUCUAGCGGGUGUGAGAGCACGACCCGCGCCACUCGCACUGAGACACUGGCGAGACACCUACGGGUGGCUGCAGUCGAGGAUCUUCGGCAAUGCGCGCAAGCGCGACCGAGCGACGCCGCGUGGGCGAUGAAGGCCUUCGGGUUGUAAAGCCCUGUCGAGGGGGAGAAAAGCUCGAAAGAGUGUGACCUAUCCCUGGAGGAAGCUCGGGCUAAGUUCGUGCCAGCAGCCGCGGUAAGACGAACCGAGCGAACGUUGUUCGGAAUCACUGGGCUUAAAGGGUGCGUAGGCGGGCUGCCAAGUUUGAGGUGAAAUCCUCCGGCUCAACCGGGGAAGUGCCUUGAAUACUGGCGGUCUGGAGGGAGGUAGGGGCGUGCGGAACUAACGGUGGAGCGGUGAAAUGCGUUGA